ACUCUUCUGAUAUUUGUAUGUCUUAGAUUAUGAUGUCACCACUGUGCUAGCAUAGGUUCCGACUUAUAGCGGAAAUCGCAGUUAUGCUGCCCCAUAGGAAUGGAACGAAGUAAAAAUAUGUCCAAAUCAUGUUAUUAAAUUCUAUUAUUAUUAUACUUCUGCCUAUUCCCUGCAAUGCCCGCAUUUCUCCGUAGAUGGCGUAGAAAAGGCUUAAAGCAUUUUAGGCUUUAGGGUUUUUACAUGUCGAAAUAGGCAGACAUGGGCAGCAAUGACAUGAGUUUUAGCAGUUUUGUACAAGGAUUAUGUGUAUACGGUUGACUAUUGUAGGAGGUAGACUGACUCGGCAGCAUUUCACUUGAUUUUAGCAGCAUCAGGUUCAGGGGAAGUGUUUAAUAUGUGCUUCUACACUUCAUUAAGCACAUUGAACAUUGAAUUCCAUUAUGACCUAGAUCAUUGUUUCUCAAAGACUGGGUCGUGACCCUCAGGUGGGUCGCAAGAGUUUUUUUGGGGGGGGUCGUCUUGCAUCAUGUUUCCCAGGAUUUUACGAAUAAUGUCUAUUGACUUGGGUUGGAAGGUUUGUGACUUUUAAAAUUUGGGUCCCCAGAAAAAAAAGUUUGGGAAACACUGACCUAGAUGAUCAGUAAAAGCACUGUAGACAACAUGACUGAAGAAUGGAUAUGGAUGGAUAUUUAGGCCUUCUGAGCUAGGAGGAGUUUGCCGCUAGGUGUCAAGCUAAAUCUGCCUUUUAGUUUAACAACCUCAUAUAAUUUUUAUCUCCAACUCAACAAAUCAUUUACACUUCCACUAGAUCACAUUUAAAUGAUUUAGGGAGUUUUACAUUGACUUCAUAAGUUAAAGUAGCCCACGUCAGUGUUUCUACAAUGCAGUCUUCUGCGGUGAUGUCAUUGUUUGUCAUAACAGAGUUUUCUGGUUAGCAGGGUUGUGCCGACGCACAAAAAUAGAGCAAAUCACUAUUUACCCUUUACCUAAAUAAUAAACCUCUGACAUUGUCUCAACCCUUGGGUGGCACCGAGUUAUCAAUAAACAUUGUCUGAGGUUCUUAUAGCCCGUGAGUUUAGCUUCUUAAAGUCAUGGACUAGCUGCCUUCGUUGCUGACUUUUAGCUAAUGCUUCUUUUGGGAAUGCCUGGCAUUUUCUCUGUCAAUGAACAGCCUAUAGGAAACAAAAUGACUAAAUUACGACUUGUUUAUAUUUUUAAAGCAUUAUGAAUUGGCCAUGGAAUGGCAUGCUUGUACCGUUAGCAUAGCACAGUACUUCUCAAAUAGUGGGACAGGUCCCCCCUAGGCGCGGUGAGUUACCGGGGGGGUUCUGAGGGGCUUCAAAUGGAAUAUGGAUGUAAGUGUAACACUGCUAUAAUGCAUGAAUGAUAACAAGCCUCCAGUCACUAGGUGGCAGCAACUCAUGUACUGUUUGUACAGAUAUAUAGAAAAUAUACAUAUUAAGAGGUUCUCAAUUGUAUUUCAAUUUGCGGGGGUCUGGGUCAGGAGGGCACGUAGCGAUGUGAAAACAUGUCUGUCCCCAUGGGGGCGUGAUAGAAAAUAAUUAAGAACCACUAGCAUAGCAUAACAGCAUCAUGCUACUUCCAAAA
Long non-coding RNA from Cynoglossus semilaevis (tongue sole), 1608 nucleotides. RefSeq lists it as uncharacterized. The transcript is spliced from 2 exons. The record is from RefSeq and is a predicted model, not a curated record. Lineage: Eukaryota; Metazoa; Chordata; Actinopteri; Pleuronectiformes; Cynoglossidae.